RNAcentral lists this ribosomal RNA (211 nucleotides) under uncultured bacterium. RNAcentral describes it as "partial 16S ribosomal RNA". It matches the Rfam family "Bacterial small subunit ribosomal RNA", at positions 28 to 233 of the family's 1533-position model. The record is from RNAcentral.
GACGAACGCUGGCGGCGUGCUUAACACAUGCAAGUCGAGCGGUAAGGCCCUUUCGGGGGUACGACGAGCGGCGAACGGGUAGAGUAACACGUGGGUGACCUCGCCCUCAGCUCUGGGAGUAAGCCUCGGGAAACCGGGUACUAAUACUGGAUAUGACUCCAUGACGCAUGUUGGUGGGGUGGAAAGCCUUGUGCGGCUGAGGAUGGGCCCG